GCCUUCGUGGUGUAAUGGUCAGCACGUCCGGCGCGUAUUCGAGAGGUCCGAGGUUCGAGUCCCGGCGAGGGCA
This 73-nucleotide transfer RNA is filed under the name Stegodyphus mimosarum. It matches the Rfam family "tRNA". From Rfam's summary of the family: Transfer RNA (tRNA) molecules are approximately 80 nucleotides in length. Their secondary structure includes four short double-helical elements and three loops (D, anti-codon, and T loops). The record is from Rfam by way of RNAcentral. Lineage: Eukaryota; Metazoa; Arthropoda; Arachnida; Araneae; Eresidae.